AGUAAUUAAAUAGCACCAGGUGUGUCUCCAUCAUCACCUUUUACAAUUCCAGUGCUAGUAUACAUCCUCCAAUAUGUCAUCAAAAUCGAAAAAAGAUAUGGAAGAAGUAACGGAUAAAAUUUCCGACAUGUCAGUCGAGGAUCCAGGUAAAAAAUUAUCUCACAAAGAGAAGAAAAAAUUAAAAAAACAGCAGGAAUAUGAGAAAAAUUUGGAGAUGAUGACCAAAAUCGGUGGUCAGGGUCACAGUGAACUAGAUUCAAAUUUCACCGUAUCUCAAAGUGAAACACAAAACCGUGGCGCGCAAUUAUAAGAGCAUGCUGUUGACAUAAAAGUCGAAAACUUCAGUAUUGCUGCUAAAGGAAAACAAUUGUUCACUGAUGCUACUCUAUCGAUAGCUCAGGGUAGACGUUAUGGUCUCGUCGGUCCUAAUGGACAUGGAAAGACAACACUACUACGUCAUAUAGCAAAUAGAGCAUUCAAUAUACCACCAAAUAUCGAUGUACUCUAUUGUGAACAAGAAGUUGUCGCUGAUGACACACCAGCUGUUCAAGUUGUACUUAAUGCUGAUAUUAAAUGCAAAGAAUUACAAAAUGAAUGUCAGAAAUUAGAGCUACAAGCUGAAUCUAAUAGCGACGAAGCCAUCCAAGCACGAUUACAAGAGUAUUGCCGUUCGUUGGUUUUGGAUCUGCUGGAGUAACGGCUGGCUCAGUUGCAGCAGGAUGGCAAACACCAACCAUAGCCGCUGGAUCAUUAUUUGCAAAAUUACAAUCUUUGGGUGCAACUGGUGCAGGAGAUUUGCUUUUCGGGGUUUCUGGUAGUAUUAUUAAUGGAUUUGGCGCACGCUACUUUACUGCAACUGAUUGGUGUUCUUGUCCUGAAAAUAACAAUUAACCACUACACACCAGAAAAAAUUAUUAAACAUAAACUCAUUUAUUCAAUCAUGAUUAUCAGAUGCUGAUGUCAACACACCGAUAUUCUGUUCUUUAUAUUAAUAUCUCAUAUUACAUUCUUGGUAUUUAGUUUGGGAUUUUAAUUUUUUUUACUGCGCAAUUAAUUUACUAAACUAACUCAUCUACUACACUAUGCACACUUUUGAGUUAUUUUAUUAUUUAACAGUACUAUUUGCAGUGUGUUUGUCAAUUAUAUUCAAAUCAUGAGCAACAAUAUCAAAAUUAUCAAAAUCUUUGAGUUUAAUUAUGUAUGGUGUCUUUUUAAAACCUCAAUGCUACUAGAGUGCAUUAUAGAGUGAAUAGUGUUGUGUCUGUUAAAUUUAUUAUGAUCAUUAAUUGGUCUUAGGUUAAUUAAUUAUUAUUAUUAUUUUAAUUAGUUGAUGUUUUCUAUGAUCAUAAGUCAUAAAUGGUAAUAAUUAUUAAGAUUACCGAUAGGAUUUGCAUAUCCCAAAAGAACAAAUUUGUAGGCCCCUGUCUGAAAAUAUAAAUUCUGUAACAGACA
Long non-coding RNA from Microplitis demolitor, 1452 nucleotides. RefSeq lists it as uncharacterized. The transcript is spliced from 4 exons. Lineage: Eukaryota; Metazoa; Arthropoda; Insecta; Hymenoptera; Braconidae. The record is from RefSeq and is a predicted model, not a curated record.